This 631-nucleotide long non-coding RNA is filed under the name Theobroma cacao (cacao). RNAcentral's name for it is "long non-coding RNA (TCAC_LNC002891)". Lineage: Eukaryota; Viridiplantae; Streptophyta; Magnoliopsida; Malvales; Malvaceae. The record is from RNAcentral.
GCUUUGAGGCAACAGAAGUGCUAGCUCUUGAGUUAAUUUGAGACCUGGGCAUUUUGUUUGGCGGGGAGGGGCGGGGGAUUGUAUAUUACAUUGAUCAAAUUAAGGUAUUUCUUCCAUUAUUCAGAAAAAAGAAACAAAGGCGUUUUAUUCCUGUUACUUACAAGCUUCAAUUAGUUCAUUGAGUUAGCAUGUGCUAGAUUGAUUGAUAUCCUUUUUCUUUUAUUUUUUGGGUUGUUUAACUGGAUGGUAGAUGCCAUUUGAAUGAAAGCAAACAUGACAAAAUGAAAUGUUCACAAGGACAUGGAUUCAAGAGCACGUAUCUUUUAAUCUGCCGAUUUUCAUGAAGGAGACAUCAUAUAUUGUUGUGGUGACAAGCGUAUUGUUGCAAUAUACUUUAGGAUAUAAAUAUACAGUUUCUGUAAGGUAAUCUAGCUAAGAAGAGUGAUUAGUUUAGUAGAUGAUAUGCUUUGCUAGUUUACUUCAUCUAUGCUUUCUAAUACAGGCUUCCACCCUUUGCAGUUGUCACCACCAUCAGAUUUGUCAACGCCCUUUGUGCUUUCUUUACUUUGUAUCUGAGAGAUCAUAUCAUGAACGGAAACUCUUUCUUUUUGAAGCAGCUCUUGCAAUUCUU